GUGUUCACCUGGCUGGGGACAUACCAAGAUCUCGGGAAGGUGGAUUUCCCAGGGUGAGCUUUACCCAUCGCACCCUGGAUGUGCUGACCCCUGCAAUUUCUCCAAAUGUGGGAAACUCGACUGCACAAUUUGUGGUAGUGGGGGACUGUGUUCUCCCUCUCCCCUG
This is a small nuclear RNA of Octodon degus (degu), 166 nucleotides long. Its record names the gene U1. It matches the Rfam family "U1 spliceosomal RNA". Rfam says of the family: U1 is a small nuclear RNA (snRNA) component of the spliceosome (involved in pre-mRNA splicing). Its 5' end forms complementary base pairs with the 5' splice junction, thus defining the 5' donor site of an intron. Lineage: Eukaryota; Metazoa; Chordata; Mammalia; Rodentia; Octodontidae. The record is from Ensembl.